AGCACACAGUGAGAGGAGCCUUGGGUCAGCUCCCUGGUGUCCUGGGGACAGAGGGAGAGUGUGAGGGGCCAUGGAAGCUGGGAGCUCCCAGAACAAUCCUACUCCUUCUUCCCUUCCUCCCUUGCUUCCUCCCUCUAAAUGAAGUGUCUAGCAGUGAGCUGGAGAUUGGACAACAGAAGGAGUAAAGAUGCUUCAGGGACUAUCUGGCGAUUGUGCAGAUUUUUCAUGAGAGGAUUAAUAAACUAAGAACUUUUAUGUAAAAAAAAAAAGAUGGGAGAGCACACA
This is a long non-coding RNA of Herpailurus yagouaroundi (jaguarundi), 285 nucleotides long. RefSeq lists it as uncharacterized. The transcript has 3 exons. The record is from RefSeq and is a predicted model, not a curated record. Lineage: Eukaryota; Metazoa; Chordata; Mammalia; Carnivora; Felidae.